RNAcentral lists this long non-coding RNA (894 nucleotides) under Nicotiana tabacum (common tobacco). RNAcentral's name for it is "long non-coding RNA (NTAB_LNC009489)". The record is from RNAcentral. Lineage: Eukaryota; Viridiplantae; Streptophyta; Magnoliopsida; Solanales; Solanaceae.
AACGCCAUAAAUGAGAGAGUGUAGAGUGCAAACUAAUAGAAGUGGAAAAUCAACUUGAUGAAGAGCAGAAAAAACGAGAAGUCAUAGAAGCUCGUCUAUUGAGUGAUCAAAAAAUGUUAAAACAGAGCAUGAUGGCACUAGUAUUCUAUAUGCAAAGUUCCAAGGUAUUUAGUUUGUUUAAGACGUUAAAGUUUCAAUUACUUUUUUUUUUUUUUGGCAAAUUCCUGGAAAUCUACUCAACCUGCCGCAGCUUGUUUUUGUUUGGAAUGCGUCUUUUGCUGGACACCACUGUCCAAUCUUCCCAAGUUGAUUUCCUUGCUAUUCCAUCGUCCUUAGAUUUAAUAUCCAUUGAUCCAAUAUCAUGUCUAGCAUUUUCCCCGUUACUGCUGGAAAUUUCAGCGUGCAAACUAGUAUCACGAUCCUGUUUAUCUAAUGAUUGUUUUGAACCUGCUUCUAACGUAUCAGCAACCUUGUUGUUAGCAGAUGUUCCACCAAUUGCACGAGCAUCUCCCUUGCCAAGAAUUCCAGUAGCUUUAUCUCCCUUGCCAAGCUCCUGUCCUUCCCUGUUAACAUCAGUAGCUUUAAAAGCUACUUGAGUAGCCUAUUGGAUUAUUGAAGUUCUUGAUUGGUGAUUUGAUGCUCUUAAAUGUUGGGGACUCUAAUAAAACUUAGAAUAGAUGUGGAACUAAAACUGAAUCUUGGUAUAUCUAACUUUACCUUAUUUGAAGCAGUAGACAUAUUCAGCCUUCUGGUUUUUGUAAUAUCAUUCAGAUUUUACCAACUCUUCCCUUGAGUACUUGAUCCAUGGUUUUCCCUUUUUCAAAAAGGAGUAAAGGUUUUUCCCUUCUCUUUUUCUUCCCAGGGGACGGGGGACAUGAUUAUAAUGAUUUUAUC